This is a long non-coding RNA of Triticum dicoccoides, 3534 nucleotides long. RefSeq lists it as uncharacterized. The record is from RefSeq and is a predicted model, not a curated record. Lineage: Eukaryota; Viridiplantae; Streptophyta; Magnoliopsida; Poales; Poaceae. The transcript is spliced from 3 exons.
CGAGCUAGGGUUUACGAUUCCUGCGCCCACAACCCCGAUAUAUAGUGCAGUCCUCCAGCCACCCAUGGUCCUCCGUCGUCUUCCGCGGCCGCCCGGUUCUCGCCCUCCGUUCCUGCUCUGCGUAGAUCUUUUAGCUUUUUUUUUCUAUCUCUAUGCUGGUGUCAUCUUCUUGGCAAUUCGAUUCGUUUCGUUUGUCUGAUGUAUCCCUCGUCAGAUUUGAUCUUGCUGCUGUGUUGAGUUUCGUUUCCUCGUUCUGGAUGUAGAUGGAAGUGAGGAUCCUUUCCCCAGCUGAUCGACAAUGAUUAUACUGUGCGCAAAUGUAAUCCUUUAUCAGAGGAUUCCAAGCCAGAAAUCUGAUCCAUCUCGUCGUACCAUCUCAGCGCUUCUUUUGUUUUUUCUUGUAUUUUUUCUGUUGUGUUUAGUCGUGAAAAUAAAUUGAAUGGAAGUGAGGAUCCUUUCCCCAAAUGAUCGACUAUGAUUAUACUGUGCGCAACUGUAAUCCCAUCGGGAUUCCAAGCCAGAAAUCUGAUCCAUGGUUUUUAUAUUGUAUUCUUGUUUUUUGGUUUUGUUUAUUGUUAUUAUUGUUCGAAAUUUGGAUGGGUAUGAGGAUCCUUUCCCCAAAUGAUCGACUUUGAUUAUACUAUGCGCAAAUGUAAUCCCAUCAGGAUUCCAAGCCAGAAAUCUGAUCCAUCCACUUUCUUAUAAUUAUUUUCUGCAAACUAAAAUUUUCUCUUAGUGGAAUUGAGGUUCCUUUCCCCAAAUGAUCGAGUAUGAUUAUACUAUAUGUCCUCAUGUGUUUCUUCGGUACAGUAGAUUUCUCGAUCUCAUGCUUUGAUCUACAGAAUGAUUCAUCGACAAUAAAAAUUACUUAAAAUUGACUAAAUACAAAAACUGCAACGUGUUUUGGAGGCUCUUUUGUUUUCCGUACUUGGUAUGGGUUGCUUUCUUCUGGAUCGAAAAUCUCAGGGGUGCACCUCAAAUCUGUAUGAAAUGAUGGAUUGAUGGAAUCUAUUUUACUUCAAGUGGGUGUGCUAAAUUAAUUUAUUUGGGUUUGCAUCCAUUCAGGUCUAUUUUACUUAAAGUCGGUUUGCUAAAUCCAUUCAGGUUUAGAUACAGGAAUUGUACGCACAAUGAUUCUGCACUCAAAUUUUAUGCGCAGUAGUUGUUUUAAGUUUGACCAUGUACACUAUUUUAACUCUACAAUAUCAAAUACAUGUACAUGUAAUUAUAUUUCCAUGAAUAAAUUUUGCAACAGACGGAUUAUCUUAGUGUAUUCUGGUGAUAUCAAUUCGGACGCUAGAUAUUGGUUCAUGUCGUUACAUGCACUGAAGCAUUUUCUUUCAUUCUUUUCAUUUGUGAUGUGAUGAUAAUUCACAUAGGUUUUUGGUAGUGGUUGCAUAUGUCAUUGUGAGCUUUCAAACCAAAAACUCUUUCCACCGAGCAGUGCUUCCAAAUUUCAUAUUUUUUGUUGUUGAUUUUGCCUCUGUUUUUCUCUAAUGCUUUGGACUAGGAUGUACCGUAUAACACUGUAAACAGCAGCUGCUACUAUGUCGCUGUGCUGCGAUUCAGUCAAUAGACAGAGCUUACUUAACUGUGAUGAUGAUAGAACUAAGGCUUGUUUCUCAAAACAUUCCCUGAUGCUGCCUUAAGAGCUUUCACCCUGCCAGGCUGAGAUAAUGCUCCUUCCUUGAUGUCUGACCCAUGCUUAUCUUCCUAGUUUUUAUCCUUUUUGGUGCCUUCUUUCUGCACACAAGAUGACAUUUUGACCAACUUCUUGAGUACAAUGUCUAAGCCGUGUUUAGCACAAUGAUAGUUUCCCUAUCCAAAUUGAUCUGUUUUUUUGUUGAUUAUUUUUUCCUUUCUUUCGUUUGUGUGAAUAGAAUUCGACAUUGUUGGCUGGUGAUGAUUCAGGUCUGGAAGGAUCUUAGCAGAUUUCAGUGAGGCGGAUUUGUCCGCCAUUGAUUGAUUCUCACAGACUGAAUUCCUAAAGGUUUCCUCUGUUUUUGUGAUGCGAUGAUGAUUCAUAUAGAUUUUUGGCAGUGGUGGCAUCUGUCACCGUGAGCCUCCAAACCAAAAAACGACUUCUCUUUCCACUGAGCAUUGCUUGAAGUUGUCAAUUCUUUCCUUUUUGUACUACAUCUUGUCCCUGCGAAGAGCACUAGACCAGGAAGUGCCGUAUGACACUGUAAACAGCAGCUGCUUCUAUGCUUCUGCAAGUGUCCAUCUCUGUAUCAUAACCUUUGUGGUUUGUUCUGGGAUGUAAUUCCAUUUGCACCGGCUUGAUUCAGCUGUGUGUGUGAUUUGAAACGGGUCUCUGAGGGACUAAGCAAUGAUGCGUGUUCUCUUGCAACCUUUCUUUUUUCCUGUUUUCUUUGGCCCGAUGCCACGUCUCAGGUAGCCACAAGCCUUGACUGGAGAUCCUACAUUGUGCCAACAAAGAUUUUCACAUUUGAUAGGAACCUGUGGCUGUGAUUCAGUCGGUACACAGAGCCGAUUUUUGUGAUUACACCAUUGCCUCACUGUAAUAUUUGUUGUAGUUACUGGGAAAUCAAUGGUGAUGAUGAUAUAACUAAGGCAUGUUUCUCAAAACAUUCGCAGAUGCCGCCUAAGAGCUUUCGCCCUGCCAGGGUGCACAAACUGGUUGACAAAUGUUUGGCCUUACCUUUGGAAUGUUAAUUCGGUAUAAUAGUUAUGUUAUGAUGGUCUAUCAUUUACUGUGGUAUACUACCUUAAAAUUUGUCAAUUCGGAUCUUGGAUGGAAAUCCAUGGAAGCAGGUGAUGACACCAAGACAGGGACAUCAGAACCAUGUAAUGGUUAUGAUAGACCAAGUCUAUAAUGGGAAUCUCUCUGAUGUUUUCUGUUUUCCAACCAUUUCGAAUUUUAGGUAUUUUCUUCUGUCUGCUUUGAUUGUCACUACCACUGAGGCAGCUUUUCUUAGUUGAUCAUUUUGUUUGGGAUUUUGUUGGUGCUAUCGGUUUGGUUUAGUAAGUUGGUUGGAGCAAACUGCCGGUGAUGGUGUUAAAUAUACUUUGCAGCUUUUUGCUUUGAAAUAAACCUACAAUCUGAGGCAUUUGCAUUCAAUCCACUGUUGCCAUUGUAUGAAGUUAGCAUAGAUAGAUCCACAUUUCUUUAUUUUUGUUUUUAUCUAUAUGAAUUCAGAAAUCCACUGUUUUGAUUUGUUUGCACAGGACCUGAAUCGAUUGUAGCGCCAAAAACUGACCAAGCAGCCCACGGAUUUGAGGAUACAGGGUGAAUCCAUUCAUUAUGAGAUGAGACCUUCGAUGGCCCCAUGUCAGUCUUCAGGCAAAAUUACCCCCUAAUUAGCACAAUCUUCUUAGCUUUACGGACCUACAUGUAAUGUUGAACUAUGUCAACUGUACCUGCAUUGGAUUUGUGCCUCUGGGAUUUUUUCAAUAGUCAGCGGAGCUGUAGAAGAUGCUAGUUAACUGAACUGGUCUGGCUUGGAAUUGUAGAAAUCCAGAUUGUGUUAUGAAAUUCAUGGCCCACAAAGGCAGUUCAAAACAAAAAAUGAA